GACGAACGCUGGCCGCGUGCCUAAUACAUGUAAGUUGAGCGCUGAAGGGUGGUACUUGUACCAACUGGAUGAGCAGCGAACGGGUGAGUAACGCGUGGGGAAUCUGCCUUUGAGCGGGGGACAACAUGUGGAAACGAAUGCUAAUACCGCAUAAAAACUUUAAACACAAGUUUUAAGUUUGAAAGAUGCAAUUGCAUCACUCAAAGAUGAUCCUGCGUUGUAUUAGCUAGUUGGUGAGGUAAAGGCUAACCAAGGCGAUGAUAACUAGCUGACCUGAGAGGGUGAUCGGCCACAUUGGGACUGAGACAAGGCCCAAACUCCUACGGGAGGCAGCAAUAGGGAAUCUUCGGCAAUGGACGAAAGUCUGACCGAGCAACGCCGCGUGAGUGAAGAAGGUUUUCGGAUCGUAAAACUCUGUUGGUAGAGAAGAACGUUGGUGAGAGUGGAAAGCUCAUCAAGUGACGGUAACUACCCAGAAAGGGACGGCUAACUACGUGCCAGCCGCCGCCGUAA
This 513-nucleotide ribosomal RNA is filed under the name uncultured bacterium. RNAcentral describes it as "partial 16S ribosomal RNA". It matches the Rfam family "Bacterial small subunit ribosomal RNA", at positions 28 to 523 of the family's 1533-position model. The record is from RNAcentral.